RNAcentral lists this transfer RNA (72 nucleotides) under Camelus bactrianus (Bactrian camel). It matches the Rfam family "tRNA". From Rfam's summary of the family: Transfer RNA (tRNA) molecules are approximately 80 nucleotides in length. Their secondary structure includes four short double-helical elements and three loops (D, anti-codon, and T loops). Further hydrogen bonds mediate the characteristic L-shaped molecular structure. tRNAs have two regions of fundamental functional importance: the anti-codon, which is responsible for specific mRNA codon recognition, and the 3' end, to which the tRNAs corresponding amino acid is attached (by aminoacyl-tRNA synthetases). tRNAs cope with the degeneracy of the genetic code in two manners: having more than one tRNA (with a specific anti-codon) for a particular amino acid; and 'wobble' base-pairing, i.e. permitting non-standard base-pairing at the 3rd anti-codon position. Lineage: Eukaryota; Metazoa; Chordata; Mammalia; Artiodactyla; Camelidae. The record is from Rfam by way of RNAcentral. RNAcentral also lists the same sequence under 2 other names.
GAGGGCAUAGCUCAGUGGUAGAGUGCAUGCUUAGCAUGCACGAAGUCCUGGGUUCAAGCCUCAGUACCUCCC